UACGGGGGGGGCAAGCGUUGUUCGGAAUUACUGGGCGUAAAGGGCUCGUAGGCGGCCAACUAAGUCAUACGUGAAAUCCCUCGGCUUAACCGGGGAACUGCGUCUGAUACUGGAUGGCUUGAGUUCGGGAGAGGGAUGCGGAAUUCCAGGUGUAGCGGUGAAAUGCGUAGAUAUCUGGAGGAACACCGGUGGCGAAGGCGGCAUCCUGGACCGAUACUGACGCUCAUGCACGAAAGCGUGGGGAGCAAACAGG
This 253-nucleotide ribosomal RNA is filed under the name uncultured bacterium. Its description in RNAcentral is "partial 16S ribosomal RNA". It matches the Rfam family "Bacterial small subunit ribosomal RNA", at positions 524 to 776 of the family's 1533-position model. The record is from RNAcentral.